AGUGAUACAGGUGAUAUGAGAUGAGAGGCCUUUGGGGCCCGUCUGAACACACAUAGAGGCUUUGGGCCGUGUGUUUGAGCGCUUUUGCCUUUUGGGGGCAUAUGCAUGCGGUAUGAUGAUUACAGAGAUACAGAUAUAAGAUACAAACAGAUAUUGAGAUACAGAUGAUACAGAUGAGUUACAGGCCUUUGGGGCCCGUCUGAGUACACAUAGAGGCUUUGGGCCGUGUGCUUGGGCGUUUUAUUAUGCAUGCACAAAUAUGAUGAGAUAUGAGAUGGUAUUUCCCUGUCUAUCCGUGUAGCUCCGGGGCAUGACGUUACCCAGAUAAUACGUCAUUGCCCGUCCGUUGAGGUCCGGAUAUGACGAGAUUAUUUCCCUGGGUACUUGUUUGGUGACAAUUUUCAGAUUUGUGAAUUCUAUAUGAUAUUGUGAUAUGAUUUCCAUGGUUAGUAAUCUGAUUUAAAUGUUUAAUGAUUUAUUAUUGAUUUCUCGCUUAUGGUUUAAUGAAAUCGUGUUUGGAAAUGAGAUGAUUAUUUCUUUUAAAGUAAAAAUUAAUUUUCAAAACUACUAUCCACUCACUGAUCUCACUGAGUUUUAAACUCACCCUGUUUUUAUUAUAUUUCCCUCCCCCCCUCACCAGGAGGUUGCAGGUACACCAGACCUACCCAGCGACCGUAAAUAUAUUUUGAGUCUUGGCCACGUGAUGAUGUUAGAAGAUAUAGAUGUUUUUGUUAGGACAUCUCGGUCAUCUUGUUCUUUUGGGAUUGUAUAAUUUUUUUAUAUUCUUCUUUUGGGAUUAAGAAUAAACUGAGAUAUUAAUAUUAGUUAUAAUAUUAUCUUUUGAGACUCUGGAGAUAUAAAACUCAGCAUCUUGGUUGAGGAUGUUGAGCACUGGAGUUUGUUGUAUAUUGAAUUGUAUUGGAAGUGUUAUAUUCAUAUUUGUAGAUUGGGAGUGGUAUAUAUAUAAAGGAGAUUCUGCCGAAAAUUCGGCUGAAUCUUUACGAAUAGAAUUAUUAUCAAGUCCGUUUUGAUGAGACUAGAUAGACUCGCCUGGGGGGAUUCGGGGCGGGUCGUUUCAGUUGGUAUCAGAGCAUGGUUUUAGAUUCUGUAGACUUUACUGUCUUUAUAAGACUAAGUUUUAUCUUUAUUAAAGUUAGAAUUUAUCUCUUGUAGGCACCAUCAUGCUUCAUCGUGGCAGUAGACGUGGCCGUGGCCGUACUAGGCCAAUAGUUGGGUUGACUUCUGGUAGUGUACCUGCGGGGGAAAGUGAACCCGCGAAUGAGGGGAUAGUUGAAUCCUCCACGCAUGAAAUUGCACAACAGACACCGGGGAAUGCCCCGAAUAUUGAGCAGUCAUUUGAUAGGCUGGUUCAGAUCAUGACUACAGUUGUGCAAAAUCAGACUCAAGCGCAUGUCGGUAACGCAAACACUAUUGAGCGAGUGAGGAGUUUAGGGGCGAGGAGCUUUAAUGGUUCCGGAGAACCACCUGAGGCUGAGUCAUGGUUUGUUAAGUUAGAGCGUAUUUUUAUCGUGAUGAAGUGUUUGGAGGAUGGCAGAUUAUCCUUCGCCACUUUCUUGCUCGAGGAUAGAGCUUACCAUUGGUGGCAGACUGUGGAGAGACGAUAUCAGGGGCAUGCUGCGAUUACUUGGGCCAUUUUCCGCAAGGAAUUCUACGAUUAUUAUUUUCCUGAUGUGUAUCAGGAUAUUAAACGAAGUGAAUUCUUUCGGUUGGUUUAGGGAUCUCUGACAGUUGAGGAGUAUGAGAAGAAAUUUUUAGACCUCUCUAGAUUUGCUACAUCUGUAGUCGGUGAUGAGAGUGAGAGAUGUAGACGGUUCGAGGAUGGCCUCCGAUUUGAGAUUCGCACCACCGUGACUACAUCACGAUAUACUGAGUUUGGAGAGGUGGUUAAGGCAGCCAGGAGAGUAGAGCACAGUAUUUCAGAAGGACGUAGAUUUCAUGCACUGAAGCAGAAGCGUAGCCAGAGCUGGGCAGUGGGUGACUCUAGUAGUAGGCCGCCCAAGAGAGGGGGUAUUCCUACGAGUUAUUCUGAUAGUACGUAAAGGAGUCAGAGUACAGGCUUCAGGGGAGACGCGAGACAGGCUGUCAGUCAAAGCUCUGUGCAACCAUCAGUGGGGAGUAAUACCAAGAAUCAGGGACAGUACGACCGCAGUGGUAGGGGAUAUCGUGAUGAUCGUUCUAGGAGUUUCCAGCAGACUUCUUGCCCUUCAUGUGGCAGGAAUCAUCAGGGCCAAUAUCGCGUUGAAGACAGAGUUUGUUAUUUAUGUGGUCAGCCUAGACACAUCAGGAGAUUCUGCCCUACUUCAUCUCAGGGUGAUAACUCUACAGGAGGGACAGCCUCACGGUAUCAGCCUUACUCUGGCCAGACUCAGGGUCAGAAAGGAGUGCAGACAGGAGGUUCUACAUCUACCUUUAAGAGUCAGAUGACUGCUCCAGGUCAGAGAGGUCAGCCUGGUCGACCUCAUAAUCAGGCUCGAGUUUUUCCUUUGACGCAGCAGGAGACACGUGCUGCACCAGAAGUUAUUAUGGGUAUAUUAUCUAUCCUUGGCCGCGAGGCUCAUAUUCUUAUUGAUCCUGGAUCCACACACUCUUUUGUUUCUCGUACGUUUGCUAUGCACAUAGGGCGAGAGCCUGAACUGCUAGAUUGCGAUUUAGUUGUUCGUACACCUGCCGGAGAGUCAUUACUUGCUGAGAGUGUGUAUCAAGAUUGUAUGAUUGGAAUGGGUGAACAUGCAUGUGAGGCAAAUUUGAUUUCCUUAGAUAUUUAUGACUUUGAUGCUAUUUUGGGCAUGGAUUGGCUUGAAUCUCAUUAUGCUAUGGUGGAUUGUUUCAAAAAGGAGGUUGUGUUUAAAAAGCCAGGGAAAGCUGAGGUGAAAUUCUGUGGGGAGUGCAAAGUUCUACCUUCAUGUGUUAUAUCUGCUCUUAGUGCAAGAAGGUUGCUAAGAAAAGGAUGCUCAGCUUAUUUAGCUCAUGUGAUAGAUACAGAAGCUCGAGAAUUGAGAUUAGAGGAUAUUACAGUAGUUAAAGAAUUUCCAAAUGUAUUUCCAAAUGAACUUCCUGAGAUGCCACCUAACAGAGAAGUUGAGUUUUCUAUUGACUUAGUUCCUGGAACAUCUCCAAUAUCUAUGGCACCGUACAGAAUGGUUCCAGCAGAAUUGAAGGAAUUGAAGGUUCAAUUACAAGAGUUGGGGGAGAAAGGGUUUAUUAGACAUAGUGUGUCCCUGUGGGGAGCUCCAGUCUUGUUUGUUAAGAAAAAUGAUGGGACUUUUAGACUCUGCAUCGAUUACAGGCAGUUGAAUAAAGUUACGGUACGCAAUAAGUAUCCACUUCCGCGUAUUGAUGACUUGUUUGAUCACCUCCAAGCGCCAAAAGUAUUUUCUAAGAUCGAUUUGCGCUCGGGUUACCAUCAGCUUAGAAUUAAAGAUGUUGACAUUCUUAAAACAGCAUUUAAAACCCGUUAUGGGCACUAUGAGUUCUUAGUGAUGCCAUUUGGGUUGACAAAUGCCCCAGCUGCUUUUAUGGACCUGAUGAAUAGGGUAUUUCGCCCGUACUUCGAUCGGUUUGUGAUUGUAUUCAUUGAUGAUAUCUUGGUGUAUUCCCGAAGCGAGGAGGUGCAUGCAGAGCAUUUGCGGACUAUUUUACAGACUUUGAGACAUAAUCAAUUGUAUGCCAAGUUCAGUAAAUGCGAGUUCUGGUUGGACAGAGUAGUAUUUUUGGGCCAUGUGAUAUCAGCGGAAGGCAUUUAUGUUGAUCCUCAAAAGAUUGAAGCAGUUGUGAAAUGGGAACGGCCUACAAAUGUCACAGAGGUUCAAAGUUUUCUUGGAUUGGCUGGUUAUUAUCGUAGAUUUGUGGAAUGAUUCUCCAAGAUUGCUACUCCUCUGACACGGUUAACCAGAAAGAAUGCUAAGUUCCAAUGGGAUGAUAACUUUGAGAAGAAUUUUCAAGAACUUAAGACAUGUUUGACCUCAGCACCAGUUCUUACACUUCCAUCUGGUAAUGAAGGAUUUGUGGUUUACAGCGAUGCCUCUAGGCAGGGAUUGGGUUGUGUAUUGAUGCAGCAUGGGAAAGUGGUGGCUUAUGCUUCUAGAAAACUUAAGAAGCAUGAACAAAACUACCCAACACAUGACUUAGAGCUAGCAGCAGCAGUGGUGUUUACGAUGGGAAAUGACGGAGUCUUAUUCAUGGGUAAUAGACUCUGUGUACCUGAUAUUAAAGAUCUGAAAGAAGAGAUUAUGGAAGAAGCUCACUGUUCAGCAUAUGCGAUGCAUCCUGGUAGUACAAAGAUGUACCGUACCCUGAGAGAUCAUUAUUGGUGGCAGGGCAUGAAGAGAGAGAUAGCAGAAUUUGUUUCUCGAUGUUUAGUCUGUCAGCAGAUUAAGGCUGAACACCAGAGGCCUGCAGGGUGUUCUCAGCCGCUUCCUAUUCCUGAGUGGAAGUGGGAGCACAUCACCAUGGAUUUUGUAGCGGGACUUCCACGUACUUAGAAAGGACAUGAUGGUGUUUGGGUGAUUGUUGAUCGACUUACAAAAUCUGCUCAUUUCUUACCUUUCAAGACCACCUACUCGAUGGACAAGUUGGGGAGUAUUUAUGUGGCUGAAAUAGUUCGAUUUCAUGGAGUACCUGUGUCCAUAGUCUCAGAUAGAGAUUCCCGAUUUACUUCUAAGUUCUGGACUAGCUUGCAAAAUGCCUUAGGCACCAAGUUGAACUUCAGUACAGCUUUUCAUCCACAGACUGAUAGACAGUCAGAGCGUACUAUUCAAACUCUGGAGGAUAUGUUGCGAGCUUGUGUUAUGGAGUUUAAAGGUAAUUGGGAUAAUUAUUUACCUCUGAUGGAGUUUGCUUACAACAACAGUUAUCAAGCUAGUAUCGAGAUGGCACCAUAUGAGGCUUUGUAUGGUAGAAAAUGCAGGACUCCAGUAUAUUAGGAUGAAGUUGGUGAGCGGAGGUUAUUCGGUCCAGAACUAGUCCAGGAUACGAACGAGAAUAUACAAUUGAUUCGGGGUAGAUUAAAGGUGGCCCAAGAUAGAUAGAAGAGCUAUGCAGACAAGCGUAGGCAGGAACUUGAAUUCGAAGUUGGUGAUAGAGUUUUUAUACGGAUAUCUCCUUGGAAAGGGGUGCUUCGAUUUGGGAAACAUGAGAAGUUAAGUCCACAUUACAUUGGGCCAUAUGAGAUCAUUAAGCGCAUCGGUCCGUUAGCUUAUCGAUUAACUCUACCACCCGAGUUAUCCAGAAUCCAUGAUGUGUUUCAUGUCUCAAUGCUCCGGAAGUACAUAUAUGACCCGAGUCAUGUGUUAUCGAAGCAACCAAUUCAGUUAAAGGAAGAUUUGACUUACGAAGAGGAACCAGUGGAGAUACUGGAAGAGAAACACCAAGUUCUGCGUUCUAAGACCAUUCCUCUAGUAAAAGUGCGGUGGAGGAAUCAUACAAAGGAAGAGGCUACCUGGGAACGCGAGGACUUCAUGCGAGCUCAGUAUCCUUGUCUUUUCUUAUCAGGUACGUAAAUUUCGAGGACGAAAUUUUUAUAAGGGGGGAGGAUUGUAACAUAUGUGAAUUUCAAAAUAAAAUGAGGCGGUUAAGAAUUUUGGCGGUUCAGGAUUUAUUAAACAAAAGAAGAAGCUGGAAAAAACAGAGCAAAAAACCAGAAGCUACACGUGUGUGAGAGAGUGAGAGAGAGAAGCCGCAACCCGACCCGAAAACCCGACCCGGAACCCGCGACCUUGACCCGACCAUAUCUCUCAUUUCCAGCCACCGUUUCGGCCGAGCUUGGUACCAAUCUGAAGCUUAGAAGCCGACCGUCAUUCCCCUGCCAUCCUCGGCGCCGAAAACCAACCGGAACGCCGGUGAUCGAAGCUUUAAACCCGCGACUGUUUCACUUUACUCCGCCGGGAUUUUCGCCGAUUUUGGGUGACACCACCUGUUGGAUCUUGUUCCCUACGGCUCCCUCUUCCAUUUCCGAUCAUCCAUAGGCACUGAGAGUCACUGUUUUGCCGCCAGUCGAAUGUUGGAAUUCACGGCUGCCGAGCUCGAUUCCGGCGCCGUUGCCGCGCGUUGGAGCUCACCGACGGUACCAUUGAACUCAGCGUGAUUGGAACUUUCAGAUUUGAGCUUCCUAGCCAGCAUUGACCAAAUUCCAGUGACCGUUGAUCGGCAAGGGCAUUUUGGUAAUUUCACACUAUGAGGACAAUUUUGUAAUUUCUGAGCCUGUGGAUAUUUUAGUAAUUCAUAGAAUUGAGGAUUGGGUGUAAUUACGAUUCCGAGGGUAAUUCAGUGAUUUACGAUUUCGGAGCAUGUUAAUGAUUUACGGGCUCAAGGGCAUUUUAGUAAUUUUAUGGACACGGGAGUUGUCAAUUAUGGAUAGAUGUUCGUUUCGAGUUUAUUGCAUAAAUUGAGUCGUAAUUCCGAUUUACGGAAAAUAAUUAUGUCGUUUCCUUGAUUUAGGAGGAUCUACGAGCGAGAACCGGUCCACAGACGUGGAUGAUAACCGACCGUGAACACUUUCACUGUGAGUGGAAUAUACAAAACCUAUUUUCAUAGUUAAUUAUGAUAGUAAUGCAUGUUUGUGAAAUAAGUAUUUUGAAUGUUCUGAUUUAAUGAUUUCCUCGAAAUGGAUUUUUAUUUACGCAUUGGUAUUUUAUUAAAAUGUUUGGUUCUUGAUUUGCGUAUCGACUUUGAAUAAAGCAUGAUAAUAUUUUAAAGAUAAGAAAAGUGGAUUCAAAUGUGGUAUGAUUGCAAGUAUGAUUAAAAGGUAUGUGAAUAUGAGUAUAAUGAUUGUUUUUAAAAUCAUUAGACAAUACCCUUCCCCUCCAGAUACAGUGAUACAGGUGAUAUGAGAUGAGAGGCCUUUGGGGCCCGUCUGAACACACAUAGAGGCUUUGGGCCGUGUGUUUGGGCGCUUUUGCCUUUUGGGGGCAUAUGCAUGCGGUAUGAUGAUUACAGAGAUACAGAUAUGAGAUACAAACAGAUAUUGAGAUACAAAUGAUACAGAUGAGUUACAGGCCUUUGGGGCCCGUCUGAGUACACAUAGAGGCUUUGGGCCGUGUGCUUGGGCGUUUUAUUAUGCAUGCACAGAUAUGAUGAGAUAUGAGAUGGUAUUUCCCUGUCUAUCCGUGUAGCUCCGGGGCAUGACGUUACCCAGAUAAUACGUCAUUGCCCGUCCGUUGAGGUCCGGAUAUGACGAGAUUAUUUCCCUGGGUACUUGUUUGGUGACGAUUUUCAGAUUUGUGAAUUCUAUAUGAUAUUGUGAUAUGAUUUCCAUGGUUAGUAAUCUGAUUUAAAUGUUUAAUGAUUUAUUAUUGAUUUCUCGCUUAUGGUUUAAUGAAAUCGUGUUUGGAAAUGAGAUGAUUAUUUCUUUUAAAGUAAAAAUUAAUUUUCAAAACUAUUAUCAACUCACUGAUCUCACUGAGUUUUAAACUUACCCCGUUUUUAUUAUAUUUCCCCCCCCUCACCAG
RNAcentral lists this long non-coding RNA (7466 nucleotides) under Citrus maxima (pomelo). RNAcentral describes it as "long non-coding RNA (CMAX_LNC004154)". Lineage: Eukaryota; Viridiplantae; Streptophyta; Magnoliopsida; Sapindales; Rutaceae. The record is from RNAcentral.